Molecule: ribosomal RNA, 253 nt
Filed under: uncultured bacterium
Lineage: Bacteria
Description: partial 16S ribosomal RNA
Rfam family: Bacterial small subunit ribosomal RNA
Source: RNAcentral
UACGUAGGUGGCAAGCGUUGUCCGGAUUUACUGGGCGUAAAGAGCGCGCAGGCGGUCGUUCAAGUCGCGUGUGAAAGCCCCCGGCUCAACUGGGGAGGGUCACGCGAUACUGAUCGACUCGAAGGCAGGAGAGGGUAGUGGAAUUCCCGGUGUAGUGGUGAAAUGCGUAGAGAUGUGGAGGAACACCAGUGGCGAAGGCGACUCUUUGGUCUGUAACUGACGCUGAGGCGCGAAAGCGUGGGGAGCAAACAGG